This 107-nucleotide small nucleolar RNA is filed under the name Theobroma cacao (cacao). Its description in RNAcentral is "Plant small nucleolar RNA R71". It matches the Rfam family "Plant small nucleolar RNA R71". Rfam says of the family: R71 is a member of the C/D box family of snoRNAs containing the C (UGAUGA) and D (CUGA) box motifs. Multiple nearly identical copies of this snoRNA have been identified in Arabidopsis, and it is thought to function as a 2'-O-ribose methylation guide for 18S ribosomal RNA. The record is from Rfam by way of RNAcentral. Lineage: Eukaryota; Viridiplantae; Streptophyta; Magnoliopsida; Malvales; Malvaceae.
AGCCCAUGGUAUGGACAUCUUCUAAACAGAUCCUUAAAUCGUUCCCAAGCCUCAUAUAAGGAUUCACCAUCAAAUUGUGUGAACGAAGUUAUAUCAUUCCUCAACUU